GCAGCAUAUGGAGGUUCCCAGGCUAGGGGUCAAAUCGGAGCUGUAGCUGCGAGUCUACACCACAGCCUCAGCAACACCAGAUCUGAGCCACAUCUGCGACCUAGGCCACAGCUCACGGCAAUGCCAGAUCCUUAACCCAGUGAACGAGGCCAGAGAUUGAACCCGAAUCCUCAGGGAUACUAGUCAGGUUCUUAACCUGCUGAGCCACAACAGGAACUCAUGAUAUACCUACUUUUGACUGUAUCAUUUGAAACUGACCGCUCUCACCCCCAUCAGCCCCUGUCUUUGGGUAAUUAUGUCAACACCUCCAAACUGGUCAUAUUUUUCCCAAAGAGGCAACGCAACCGCACGAGGGACAGUGUCCCUGUGACCACACUUCUGCAUUUCCUUCUUUCCUCUGUCUCAGGCCAGCUGCUUUCUAUUUUCCCCCCAAACAUUAAAUGCUACUUGAUUAAAGCCAAAAAGAGAAGCUUCUGCCUCAAAAGCUGAGAUAAAAAGUAAACAAAGCCAACUAAAGAAAAAUACCAAAACGCUUUUCAAAGUGCUGCAUUUCCCCUGGACUGUUCAUUUAUCUCUUGUGCAAUGACAUUUUCACUUUCCCUUACUUGAUCUGACUUCUAACCAAGUUCAUUCUGAAAUUACAGGAAGCUAAGCCUUUGAAAUUUUUAUCUGCAGCUUUCAGGAUCCACGGGGACAAAUGGCAACGUGGUCGACCGUGACGGGGCCACAGCUCAAGCCCGCGGAAGCUGGCCAGCUCGAUGCCUUGGGCGGCAUGCCUCAGCCCCUGUGCUGGGUCAGUACUUUACACCAUCUGGCUUGCUGCCCCAGGAUAUAUGAUUUACUAAACCUGCUGCGAUCCCAUGUGUGACUCUUCCCAAGGAAUUAAAGACAAAAGACAUGGCUCUCCCUAAACCCAUCCAUCUCAGACAUUUUGAUACCUGUGAUGCCACCUGAGGAGUCACACAACAUCCCCAAGGGCUACAAAGCCUCUCUUCUGUUAAAAAGAAAAAAGCAAAACAAAAUAACAACCUGUCCUCUUGCAGGUACCAUCACCACUAAAUAAUUCUGCAAUUCCUUCUGCUUUUCUUGCUUUUCUAUGAAUUCAUACAUUUGGGGAAGUAUGAAUUGUUUGAAUAGCUCUGGGUGAACAGUGACUUGCCCAUAACCUAGUGUAUGUGGCACCAGCCCACACCAGCCAGCACGAAAGAGUUCGCCUGUGUUCCAGCUCCCGUCUGUCUGCCUGAGCUCACUGAAACAUCUCCCAACACCUCUGAAGGUUCCAAAUCCCAGUCUUGUUACAGCUGAAUCGUACCUCCCAGAAAGAUACGUUCCUGUACCUACGAAUGUGAGUGUGACCUGACUUAAAAGGUCACCUGUGAAUAUGACCUUAUUUGGAAACAGGGGCUUUUGAAAAUGUGAUCAAAUUAAGGGGAAGUCAUUAAGGUAAGCCCUAACCCCAUAAGAUAGGUGUCCUCGUAAGAACACAAGGCCCACGUAUAUAUAUGUAUAACUGGGUCAUGUUGCUGUACAGUAGAAAUUGACAGAACAUUGUAAAUCCACUAUAAUAAUGUUUUUAAAUAAAAAAAUUUUUUUAAUUAAAAAAAAAAAAAAAAGAGGAAAAGGCCCUGUGAAAACAGAGAUUGACACUGGAGACGGAAGGCCAAUAUCAGAAGCUAGGAAGAGGCAAGACAGGAUUCUAUCUCAGAGGGAGGAUGGCCCUGCUGUCACCUUGAUUUUGGACUUUUAACCACCCUGAACUGUGAGGAUAAAUUUAUGUUGUUUUAAGCCACUCAUGGCUAUGGCAGCCCAAGGAAACUAAUCACACUAUGAUGUGUAUAUUAAGUAGAGCACCAGCAAGGCUUCUGCAAUACCCGGUCUUUUCCAAGACCCUGGACAGCCAAAUCAGAGUAGUCACAAUCUGGUAUCCUUCACUAGAUAUGCUCAACUCUCAGUUUGUUAUGAUGAGAUGAAAUACAGAAAAAAAAAAAAAAAAAUCAGUCCAGGAGUAUCCAUCACGUCUCAUGGCUCAGUGGUAAGGAACCGACAAGUAUCCAUGAGUAUGUGGGUUCGAUCCCUGGCCUCGCUCAGCAGGUUAAGGAUCUGGUGUUGCCAUGAGCUGUGGUGUAGGUCACAGACACGGUUCAGAUCCCAUGUUGCUGUGGCUGUGGUAUAGGCUGGUGGCUAAAGUUCUGAUUCGACCCCUAGUCUGGGAACUUCCAUAUUGCCUCAAAUUCGGCAAUAACCAAAAAAAACAAAACAAAACAAAAACAAACCCCACCCCCAAAAAAGUUAAUCCAUUGGCAUUUGAAAAAAUUAUUUUGUAUUUCUAUUUCAUGGGCAUUCUAGAAAUUCCAUAUGCUGCACACGCAGCCCUAAAAAGACAAAAAAAAUUUUUCAAAAGGCCUUCUAUUCCAAUUGAGUUACAGUAAACAAAGGUCCUAUUUAUGUCAACGAAGCACUUAAGCAGAGAAGGUGACAAUGUCAGCAAGUCUUCCUAUGCUUAAUAUGCACAAUCUCUAACCAAGAGUUGGCCAUUACUGGAGUGGAUUCCCAGUGAUCACAAGCUUCAAGUGCUCCCUUUCUCUCUCUAAAUCCCCUUAGCAUCCAGCACAUCUUAUGAUAUUUAUCAGAGACCACCCUCUAUUAUAAUUAUUCGUGCUCGUGUGGUACCUCCCUUUGUGCAUGAUAAAUUCCUUGAUGUCAGAACCACAUUCUAGGUCUGUCUGGCCCACAGCAACUUCUUUGGUGCUUUGCAUAAAGCAGGCCCUCAAAAUACAUUUGUUGAAUGAAUAACUGCAUAAAUAUAUAAUGACCACAGUAGGUGGCUAGUGAUUUGACUGUAAUAAUAUGCUGAAUUCUAGACAUAGAUUGAUGAUUCAAUCCACUGAAAGCAACAUAAAGGCAUUUCACUUCAAGCAUCAGUUCUUAUCUAUUACAAAACCUGUAACUUAGAUUGAAGGUUGAAAAGUAGAAAAGAAACAAAUGUAGCAUUGCAGCAAGGUCCUAAGACAACCUGUCUUUGGUAAGAUAGAGGGAAGAAGAUAAAGACUCUACUUAAAAGGAUAAACAGAAAAACUAUAAUUUUCAAAGAUAAAGGAGACACACACUUCGAUCGGUAAAGGUGUUCUAACAGGACAUUUGCAGAAAGAAUUCAGCUCUGACCAGCCAGAAACAGGUUCUUUACAAUUGCCUAGAUGGUGAGAUGGCUUACUCGAAAAGACGGUAACUUCUAAAAAAGGAAGUAGAGUGCCCAGAUUUUAUUUAGGCUUCCUAACUCUCAAGCUUAGAAUCCAGCUGUCUGGGCUGCAACGUAUUAUGUGGGGGAAGUUGCUCCUUUUACCUUUGGGAACACUGGAUUCGAGCUCCAGCUCCAUUACAUAAUAAGGAAGGAGCUACCACUCAUUGGGAAUUUACAAAGCACACUUUAAAACUACAGUAUCUUACUUAAUUUGGACAAUAACCCUGUGACUUUGUUGAGGAAAUAGGUCAAAGAUGCUAUUUUACAAGUGGCAAAGAUUCACUGGAUAGGUGGCAGUUUCAAGACUGGAAUCCUGCCAUCUCCAAACUCUGUACUCCUUAUUCAUUCUCUGUGGUAGCAACAGCUACCUGCCUACCCAAGAGCCCUUCCCCACUUCUAUAACAUCCCAACUCGAGGUAUUCAGCCUCUAGGAUGAGUUCAAUGAUUCUCACCUUGUAGUGCUUGUCUAGCCACCCUUCCACCCUCUACCCGCUACCCCCUAAUGAGUGUGGACUGGACCUAGUGAUGCUUCUAAAUAAUAGACUAAGGCAAAAAUCAGGCAAUGUCACUUCCAAAAUUAGGUUAAAAAAAAAAAGACUGGAACUUCCCUUUGGGGGCUACCCUCUCUCCACCCUUGUUCCCUCUGAGGGAAGCCAAACACCACGUUGUGACCUAACCUACGGAAGGGCCCUCGCAGCAAGAAACAAAGCAGCUCUGACCAAUAGGCAGUGAGGAACUGGGGCCAUCAGUCUGACAACUCAUUAGAGAUUGAAUCCUGCCAACAAUCACAUGAGUGAGCUUAGAGGUAGAUUCUCCCCCAGUCAAGUCUUCAUAUGAAACCACAGCCCCAGACAAUGCUUUAUGAGAGACUGAGACAGAGGCACCCAGCUAAGCCUCUGCCCUGACCCACCAGCAACUGUGAGAUAACAAUAUUCGAGAUUUUUAAUCUCUAAGGUAGGAAAACUUGUUUUGCAAUGACAGAUGACUAAAACCAUUGAAUGGAACUACUGGAAAAGCUACUAUUUUCUUGAUAAAAAGGGAUAAACUCAGCUAUCAGGGGCACUUCACCCUCCCGCUUCUUUCUUCCUGGAACAUAGAUGGGAUGGAUGCCCGAAGUUGGAGCCUUCAUCUUGUAACCUCGAGCACAAAACCUACACACUAAGAAAGGUCGAGGAGAAGAAGACGAGAAAAGGCUGGGCCCCUUAAGACAUCAUGAAGCUGCCAUCCCAACACUGGAAUGACUUUCCUCUUGACAUUCUGUUGCAAAAGAAAAAAGAAACCUUCUUUGAGUCUUGUUAUUUACAGUCAAAAGCAAUUCUAACUAAUUUAAUCAUUCUUCAGCUUUGGCUGGAUGUUCCAUUUUCUCUGUAAAAUUGAAGGUGAAUAACAACAGCCUCCCUUUCUACCCAAACAGGUGUGUUGAAGUGCUUUGUUCUCAUAAAAUGUAAAAUAAAAACCAAGCAUCACUGUUAUUCUUAUUUUAAGAAAUUAAAAUAUUAUUAACACUUAAUAUCAAGACCAGGAAUAUUACUGAUGAUAAAGAGAUACAUUAAAAUAAUUAACUAGCAAUAUUUUUAGUUUACUGAUAAAUUUUCAAAAAUUAAGAUACAUGUGGGACAAUUAUUUUCAUAAUCACAUUAUAAAAAUGUAUUUAAUACUAACAAUAAAACCAAUAUGAAAUGUUAAGGCUCUCUCAUAUGGAUUUGACAAAGUUGUUUCUAUGUUUUCAAAAUAAUUCACCAAAAAAAUGAGAAUGAUAAGCCCAAUAACUAGCAAAUUAAAUUCGAUACCUACAUGUCAUCACCCAGCAUCAUCACCGUAACCAACGCAUAUGCUGCAUGAAGAAAGUAAACAGCACUGCCCUAGGCAGUUGCAACUGCAGCUGAGCAGGACCCUGUGGCCUUCCCAGAGGGAACCCCCACUCACGUCCUCCACCUGCCUUUUUAUUUAUAGGAAAACUUUAAUCAAAGAACCAAUUUCAUCAGGGAAGUGAAAAAAUACAAAGAAAAAAGAAGAUGGUAAUAAAUUCAGCCAUUCAGCAAAGGGCCUUCGGUUCUUCAAAGACUAUAGCCAAUAUUCUGCGCCAUGCCCUUGGAGCUGUUUUGCAGGUGCUGAAGCCCCUACCAGCUGGAAAAAAGUCAACUGCAUGCUGCCCACAAGCAUGUAGGCUGCAGACCAGUUGGAACCAGAAGGUUGAUGAUGCUGACUUCCAACAACCUCACCACCCACCAAUCAGGAAAAUGUCCAUAAGCCGAUCACUACCUGCUCCUCAUUACUCCAUCUAAGGGGGCGGGGGCAGAGUCCUUGAGGCACCAGCCUGUUGUAUUCCCUUCUUUUCCUGGCAAUUAAAGCUACAUUUUCUGUUGCGUCCAACUCUGUCAAUGCGUUUCUAUUUGGCCUCGGUGUACAGAGGCAGCCAAUAUUUUGGCCACACUAUCUAGGUUAUACUUAAUGGUGUAACCUGGGAAGUACCCUGGUGUCUUUGUUUUUGCACAACGGGCUGUCUACUUUCAAAUCAAACUCCAAGCAGGAAGCACCUCUUCCCAUCAAGGGAAAUUUAAGACCCGGCUCCUAUCUUUGCGGCACACGGAAGACAUCGAUUACAGCAAAGAAAACACAGAUGGGGAUGUUCAGGCUGGAGAUACAGCAUUGCAUGAACACAGCCAGCAAUUUGCAGAACAAACUCACUCGAAGCAAAGCCACACUUAGAAAUCUACAGAUCAAUCAAGACUAUACUUAAAGAUUAUAUUGCAAGAGCAUAAGCAGAGAGGAAGAAAACAGUUAUAAUGAGCCUCCAGCAAAAAAGCAGACAUCUCAGCAAAUGCUAAAGCACAGGGAAGCUCUAGCCUGGACCCAAAUCAUUUCCGUGACCCCACUCAUUAAAGACUCUCACCAGGGCUCCUAACAAAUGAGAAACCUGGGAUUAAUAUCAAAAAUCAUUAGGUGGCAUUUAAAAUUUAUCAUACGUAAGAAAAGUAG
This 6217-nucleotide long non-coding RNA is filed under the name Sus scrofa (pig). Its description in RNAcentral is "lncRNA (ENSSSCG00050049378.1)". The record is from RNAcentral. Lineage: Eukaryota; Metazoa; Chordata; Mammalia; Artiodactyla; Suidae.